This 446-nucleotide ribosomal RNA is filed under the name uncultured bacterium. RNAcentral describes it as "partial 16S ribosomal RNA". It matches the Rfam family "Bacterial small subunit ribosomal RNA", at positions 338 to 795 of the family's 1533-position model. The record is from RNAcentral.
CCUACGGGAGGCAGCAGUCGAGAAUCAUUCACAAUGGGGGAAACCCUGAUGGUGCGACGCCGCGUGGGGGAAUGAAGGUCUUCGGAUUGUAAACCCCUGUCAUGUGGGAGCAAAUUAAAAAGAUAGUACCACAAGAGGAAGAGACGGCUAACGCUGUGCCAGCAGCCGCGGUAAGACAGAGGUCUCAAGCGUUGUUCGGAAUCACUGGGCGUAAAGCGUGCGGAGGCGGUUGCGCAAGGCGUGAGUGAAAGGCACGGGCUCAACCCGCGGACGGCACAUGAUACUGCGAGACUAGAGUAAUGGAGGGGGAACCGGAAUUCCCGGUGUAGCAGUGAAAUGCGUAGAUAUCGAGAGGAACACUCGUGGCGAAGGCGGGUUCCUGGACAUUAACUGACGCUGAGGCACGAAGGCCAGGGGAGCGAAAGGGAUUAGAUACCCCAGUAGUC